GACGAACGCUGGCGGCGUUCUUAACACAUGCCAGUCGAACGGAAAGGCCCUGCUUUUGUGGGGUGCUCGAGUGGCGAACGGGUGAGUAACACGUGAGUAACCUGCCCUUGACUUUGGGAUAACUUCAGGAAACUGGGGCUAAUACCGGCUAGGAGCUCCUGCUGCAUGGUGGGGGUUGGAAAGUUUCGGCGGUUGGGGAUGGACUCGCGGCUUAUCAGCUUGUUGGUGGGGUAGUGGCUUACCAAGGCUUUGACGGGUAGCCGGCCUGAGAGGGUGACCGGCCACAUUGGGACUGAGAUACGGCCCAGACUCCUACGGGAGGCAGCAGUGGGGAAUAUUGCACAAUGGGCGGAAGCCUGAUGCAGCAACGCCGCGUGCGGGAUGACGGCCUUCGGGUUGUAAACCGCUUUCGCCUGUGACGAAGCGUGAGUGACGGUAAUGGGUAAAGAAGCACCGGCUAACUACGUG
Molecule: ribosomal RNA, 468 nt
Filed under: uncultured bacterium
Lineage: Bacteria
Description: partial 16S ribosomal RNA
Rfam family: Bacterial small subunit ribosomal RNA
Source: RNAcentral